RNAcentral lists this ribosomal RNA (161 nucleotides) under Hordeum depressum. RNAcentral's name for it is "5.8S ribosomal RNA". It matches the Rfam family "5.8S ribosomal RNA". Rfam says of the family: 5.8S ribosomal RNA (5.8S rRNA) is a component of the large subunit of the eukaryotic ribosome. The record is from RNAcentral. Lineage: Eukaryota; Viridiplantae; Streptophyta; Magnoliopsida; Poales; Poaceae.
GCGACUCUCGGCAACGGACAUCUCGGCUCUCGCAUCGAUGAAGAACGUAGCGAAAUGCGAUACCUGGUGUGAAUUGCAGAAUCCCGCGAACCAUCGAGUCUUUGAACGCAAGUUGCGCCCGAGGCCACUCGGCCGAGGGCACGCCUGCCUGGGCGUCACGC